UGGAUCUGUGAUGACCACUGGAUGCGUAUGAUUGUUAAUUAUGACUACUGGUCUAGGAGUCUGAGGUCCAC
Small nucleolar RNA from Acomys russatus (golden spiny mouse), 71 nucleotides. RefSeq annotates it as small nucleolar RNA SNORD113/SNORD114 family. The transcript has a single exon. Lineage: Eukaryota; Metazoa; Chordata; Mammalia; Rodentia; Muridae. The record is from RefSeq and is a predicted model, not a curated record.